CUGAAAUCCCUUUAGUUUCGGCACAUUGUUAUGGU
Molecule: small RNA, 35 nt
Filed under: Bombyx mori (domestic silkworm)
Lineage: Eukaryota; Metazoa; Arthropoda; Insecta; Lepidoptera; Bombycidae
Description: ovarian small RNA-14797
Source: RNAcentral